Oxyura jamaicensis (ruddy duck) is the source of this 266-nucleotide long non-coding RNA. RefSeq lists it as uncharacterized. Lineage: Eukaryota; Metazoa; Chordata; Aves; Anseriformes; Anatidae. The transcript is spliced from 3 exons. The record is from RefSeq and is a predicted model, not a curated record.
UUUGAUAAGUUUAUCCUUAGAUGGGGUGAUCAGGCCCAGAAAUUUUGUUCCAGGUGACUUCUUGCUCAGGCACUGCCUUCAGAAAUGAGAGCACCAAGUUCACUUCCCUUCUCUGAAUGAAUCACUCAGCCAGAUGAUCACUGCAAUGACCAAACCCAGGACACAUCCACUCUGGUGGUGUGUCUUUGACAGGCACCAAGGUUUCAUCUUCAGCAGCUUUCAGAGGCAGCGGCCAUCAAGAUCCUUGUGCACACUGCAAGAACGAG